GUCGAGCGGUAACAGGUGUAGCAAUACAUGCUGACGAGCGGCGAACGGGUGAGUAAUGCUUCGGAAUCUGCCCAAUGGUGGGGAAUAACCAGCCGAAAGGUUGGCUAAUACCGCAUAAGUCCUACGGGGGAAAGCAGGGGAUCGCAAGACCUUGCGCCGAUGGAUGAGCCGAAGUCGGAUUAGCUAGUUGGUAGGGUAACGGCCUACCAAGGCGACGAUCCGUAGCUGGUCUGAGAGGACGACCAGCCACACUGGGACUGAGACACGGCCCAGACUCCUACGGGAGGCAGCAGUGGGGAAUAUUGGACAAUGGGGGAAACCCUGAUCCAGCGACGCCGCGUGUGUGAAGAAGGCCUGCGGGUUGUAAAGCACUUUUAGUGGGGAUGAAAAGCUCAGGGCUAACACCUCUGGGUCUUGACCUAACCCACAGAAAAAGCACCGGCUAACUCUGUGCCAGCAGCCGCGGUAAUACAGAGGGUGCGAGCGUUAAUCGGAAUUACUGGGCGUAAAGCGUGCGUAGACGGUUAUGUAAGUCGGGUGUGAAAGCCCCGGGCUCAACCUGGGAAUGCCAUUCGAGACUGCAUAGCUAGGGUGCGGAAGAGGGAAGCGGAAUUUCCGGUGUAGCGGUGAAAUGCGUAGAUAUCGGAAGGAACACCAGUGGCGAAAGCGGCUUCCUGGUCCAGCA
This 685-nucleotide ribosomal RNA is filed under the name uncultured Gammaproteobacteria bacterium. RNAcentral's name for it is "bacterial SSU rRNA". It matches the Rfam family "Bacterial small subunit ribosomal RNA", at positions 61 to 739 of the family's 1533-position model. The record is from RNAcentral. Lineage: Bacteria; Pseudomonadati; Pseudomonadota; Gammaproteobacteria.